RNAcentral lists this ribosomal RNA (209 nucleotides) under Pseudictyota dubia. RNAcentral's name for it is "partial Bacterial large subunit ribosomal RNA". It matches the Rfam family "Bacterial large subunit ribosomal RNA", at positions 1114 to 1322 of the family's 2925-position model. Lineage: Eukaryota; Bacillariophyta; Thalassiosirophyceae; Eupodiscales; Odontellaceae. The record is from RNAcentral.
AGCCAUCCUUUAAAGAAAGCGUAACAGCUCACAGGUUUAAAUUUUUUGCAUCGAAAAUGUAAAGGGACUAAAAUUACUUGCCGAAACAUUAAAUUUAAAAAAUUUUUUAAAUGGUAGCAGAACGUUCAGUAAAUUAAUAAAGGUUCUUAGUAAUAUGAACUGAAGAUAUCUGAAUUGUCAAUGUUGAUAUGAGUAACGAAUAACAUUGU